This 498-nucleotide ribosomal RNA is filed under the name uncultured bacterium. Its description in RNAcentral is "partial 16S ribosomal RNA". It matches the Rfam family "Bacterial small subunit ribosomal RNA", at positions 30 to 523 of the family's 1533-position model. The record is from RNAcentral.
AUUGAACGCUGGCGGCAUGCCUUACACAUGCAAGUCGAACGGUAACAGGUCUUCGGACGCUGACGAGUGGCGAACGGGUGAGUAAUACAUCGGAACGUGCCCAGUCGUGGGGGAUAACUACUCGAAAGAGUAGCUAAUACCGCAUACGAUCGGAGGAUGAAAGCGGGGGACCUUCGGGCCUCGCGCGAUUGGAGCGGCCGAUGGCAGAUUAGGUGGUUGGUGGGAUAAAAGCUUACCAAGCCGACGAUCUGUAGCUGGUCUGAGAGGACGACCAGCCACACUGGGACUGAGACACGGCCCAGACUCCUACGGGAGGCAGCAGUGGGGAAUUUUGGACAAUGGGCGAAAGCCUGAUCCAGCAAUGCCGCGUGCAGGAUGAAGGCCUUCGGGUUGUAAACUGCUUUUGUACGGAACGAAAAAGUCUCCUCUAAUACAGGAGGCCCAUGACGGUACCGUAAGAAUAAGCACCGGCUAACUACGUGCCAGCCGCCGCCGUAA